UAGGGUGCAAGCGUUGUCCGGAAUUAUUGGGCGUAAAGAGCUCGUAGGUGGUUCGUCACGUCGGAUGUGAAACUCUGGGGCUUAACCCCAGACCUGCAUUCGAUACGGGCGAGCUUGAGUAUGGUAGGGGAGUCUGGAAUUCCUGGUGUAGCGGUGGAAUGCGCAGAUAUCAGGAGGAACACCAAUGGCGAAGGCAGGACUCUGGGCCAUUACUGACACUGAGGAGCGAAAGCGUGGGGAGCGAACAGGAUUAGAUACCCUGGUAGUCCGCGCCGUAAACGGUGGGCACUAGUUGUGGGAACCUUCCACGGUUUCUGCGACGCAGCUAACGCAUUAAGUGCCCCGCCUGGGGAGUACGAUCGCAAGAUUAAAACUCAAAGGAAUUGACGGGGCCCCGCACAAGCAGCGGAGCAUGCGGCUUAAUUCGACUGAACGCGAAGAACCUUACCAAGGCUUGACAUAUACAGGAAUAUGACAGAGAUGUCAUAGCGGUAAAACGUCUGUAUACAGGUGGUGCAUGGUUGUCGUCAGCUCGUGUCGUGAGAUGUUGGGUUAAGUCCCGCAACGAGCGCAACCCUCGUUCUGUGUUGCCAGCAUUUAGUUGGGGACUCA
RNAcentral lists this ribosomal RNA (612 nucleotides) under uncultured bacterium. Its description in RNAcentral is "bacterial SSU rRNA". It matches the Rfam family "Bacterial small subunit ribosomal RNA", at positions 528 to 1141 of the family's 1533-position model. The record is from RNAcentral.